RNAcentral lists this transfer RNA (85 nucleotides) under Erwinia phage pEa_SNUABM_11. Its description in RNAcentral is "tRNA-Leu". It matches the Rfam family "tRNA". From Rfam's summary of the family: Transfer RNA (tRNA) molecules are approximately 80 nucleotides in length. Their secondary structure includes four short double-helical elements and three loops (D, anti-codon, and T loops). Lineage: Duplodnaviria; Heunggongvirae; Uroviricota; Caudoviricetes; Chimalliviridae. The record is from RNAcentral.
GCCGAGGUGGUGAAAUUGGUAGAUACAGGGGAUUUAAAAUCCCCCGGCUUAGGUCGUGCGGGUUCGACCCCCGCCCUCGGUACCA